Molecule: long non-coding RNA, 1317 nt
Organism: Homo sapiens (human)
Lineage: Eukaryota; Metazoa; Chordata; Mammalia; Primates; Hominidae
Exons: 8
Source: RefSeq, a predicted model, not a curated record
AUUUGUCCUUUUUGGCUGCUGCCAAGACAGCAUAUAUGGAACUGAUUUUUGAACCUCAAGAAACUGACAUUUUGAAUUCUGCUUUGUAUCAUAAGCCUCAAAUGCAAGAAGCUGUGAUUAGAAUGUGAUAAUAGCCGAGGUGCCAUAAUUCUCUGCUGUUGUAUGUUGCCACAAACCUUCAAUCCGUGAGAAAUGCGGUAUCCAUGGUGCACCAUAAAGAGGAGCUCAAUAAAACAAGGAGGUUUGUGCAGCUAAAAUAUCUGACUCCUAAAAUGGAGUUUCCUGAAAUUAUUCCUUACUCAUAGUGUAAUGAGGUGUACGUGUUGGAUCUAUUAUAACUUUCUUUCACUCCAUCUCUCAGAAUAGAUGAUCAUCCUCAUCUUUGCAUCAUAUUCCAAUUAGAAAGGGAUGAUACAACAAGAAAGCUCUCGUAAGAUGUCAGCUGCUUGAUUUUGGACUUCGCAAACUCUAGAACUUUUCUCUUGCUUGCUCCUGCCAUGUAAGAAGUGCCUUUCGUUUCCGGCCAUGAUUCUGAGGCCUCCCCAGCUGUGUGGAACUAAUAUGGCAGAUAUAACAGCACGUAAUUUCCAAGGCAAGGUCAUAAAAGACAUUGUAGCUUCUGCCUUGUCCCUUCCUCUUGGAUCUCUUGCUAUGGAGUAGCAGCCCCAUGAAGACACCCGUGGUGGAAGAUCACUGAGGACUCCUGCCAACAGCCACCCAGUGACUGAGGCCUCUUGCAGAAAUCCAUAUGAGUGGGCCAGCUGACAAGAAAAUCUUCCAGCUCUAGUCAAGCCUUCAGAACACCAGCUCUUAGUGCCAGGAACUGCCAGGUAAGAAUUCUGACUACACUGAGGCCACCAUGCUCUGAGGAAGUCAAGCCAGAUGGAAAGAUCACAGCAGGAGAACUGGUCAGCAGUCAUACUCUUGAACUCAUCCCAACCCAGACUCCAGACAUGUGAAUUGACAAGUCUUCAGAUGAUUCCAGCACAAAGCCAUUGAGUCACCUCCAGCCAUUGAGUGUCCCCAGCCGAGACACCAGUCACCAUCAAGCAGAGCCAGUAUGCCUGUUAUGCCUGUCCAAAUUCUUGACCCACUAAAUUCUAUGAAAUUAAUAAAUGGUUGUUUAAGUUACUAAAUUUUAAACUUAAUUUGUUAUGCAGUAAUAGGAAUUGUUCCUGUCUGUGAGCAAGUCCUCAUGGACAAUAAACUCAGAUCUGUCUGUGGAAUCUGGGAGAAAAAGAGACUGUUAUCCUUCCCCAUGGUACAGCCCCAGAAAGAUAAAAGUCUCAGAAUAAAACACUGUACAUGCAUAGCUCA